GUCCACGCCCUAAACGAUGCAUAUUUGGUGUGGGCAGUUCAUUCUGUCCGUGCCGGAGCUAACGCGUUAAAUAUGCCGCCUGGGGAGUACAGUCGCAAGGCUGAAACUCAAAGGAAUUGACGGGGGCCCGCACAAGCGGUGGAGCAUGUGGUUCAAUUCGACGCAACGCGAAGAACCUUACCUGGGGCUCGAACGGCUGGUCAACGGCGUUGGAAACAGCGCUACCCCGCAAGGGGGUCCAGUCGAGGUGCUGCAUGGCUGUCGU
This 265-nucleotide ribosomal RNA is filed under the name uncultured bacterium. Its description in RNAcentral is "partial 16S ribosomal RNA". It matches the Rfam family "Bacterial small subunit ribosomal RNA", at positions 793 to 1055 of the family's 1533-position model. The record is from RNAcentral.